Alexandromys fortis (reed vole) is the source of this 1423-nucleotide long non-coding RNA. RefSeq lists it as uncharacterized. The record is from RefSeq and is a predicted model, not a curated record. Lineage: Eukaryota; Metazoa; Chordata; Mammalia; Rodentia; Cricetidae. The transcript has 4 exons.
CAUCUUGUGAAUCUGAGAUGAGACAGAACAUAAAAAAUUAAAUAAGGAGUCUCUGCAAAAGGCUUUAUGCCAGCCGGCUAGCCAGAGUGUCUACCAACUCCUUACAUUUGGAAGACAAAAGGCAAGACGGUAAGUCUAUGUCCUUGCAGCUGAGAGAACAGUAAUGCCACUAGCCAGGAAGACAGAGUUAGAAGGACAAGAGCGCACCCCGGGAUCUUGCCGUAUCUUGGAGACACCUGCAUGAAGUUGUCAAGCAGACAGAAAUGAAGAUUGUAGUGUACAAGAGAGGUCCAGGCUGGAGACUCUGCCAAGUCAACUGCCAAGAAUGAAGGGUGACAAGAUUUCCACAGGAGAGUUGAUUGGCCGUGAAGAAGAGAAACAAAAAUGUGACCAGUGCGGCGUGUCUAACAAGGCUUGAAACACGGAGAUCCAUCCGAGUGUGUCAAGGACUGCUGAGACUUCAAUUGCUGCGAGCGGGGGGGAAGGAGGGCUGCUGAGGAAAAGGCCACAGGGAGCCUUUUACUAAACCAACAACACAGCUGUGAGUCUCUGAUAGUUCCGAUACAGGAGGAUAUAGCUCACACUGGCUCAUGUCCUGUUACACGCUGUCACCUCAGAUGGCCUCGCAGCUGAACCACUAAGCAAGUUAGCAACAGCCCUGGCUACACAGUGUCUUACUGGCUCCACCGCCCAUCAAAAUGUGAGCUCCCACAGCCACGUCUUUGGUCUGUCAUCAUGGACUCCAACCCCUUGAAACUUUGUUCAGAAGCCCGUUCUGUAAAAUGGAGCCAACGGGACAGCUUCAGUGAAGGUCACAGGACUCUCCCGGCUGUUGUGCCCAUAACAUCACAUCCCUAGAGGUGCCCUGGUGAUAACGGUUGAAAUAAGCAAAAACCAAGAAGCCAUCAUCAUCAGUUACCACGGAGUUUUAAAUCGCAACUACGGUGAAAUAUUGCUGUACAUCAAUCAGCAUAGCUAAAGUCAAGAACGAGAAACCCAAAACUGCUGGUCCUGGUAAGGACCGGCAGACACCUGAAUGCCCAGGUGCUCAUGAGGGAACAGGAAACAGUGUGGCCAUUCUGAAAAAUAGGGUGGCGGUGGUCAGAAACGCCAAACAUGAGACUACUGUGUGUGACUCGCUGUGUGUGACUCACAACUGCAGUUUCGAGCAUUCUCUCAGGGGAUCGACAAUUUAUGUUCACACAGAGACUUAGGCCUAAAUGUGCAUAUGAACCCCAUAUAACAGCUCCUAGGUGUCUUUCAACAGAAGAGUGGUUAGGCAAACUUUGGUACGUCCGUGUGACAGAAUGUUAUUCAGCCAUAUAAAGAGCCAGUCACUGGCGCAUGGAAACAGUCUGGAGGACUCUAUAGAAUCAUGCUGUGUCAAUAAAACCAAUGCCAAGAGGUCUUAUCUGUGUUAUGU